RNAcentral lists this ribosomal RNA (468 nucleotides) under uncultured bacterium. Its description in RNAcentral is "partial 16S ribosomal RNA". It matches the Rfam family "Bacterial small subunit ribosomal RNA", at positions 28 to 507 of the family's 1533-position model. The record is from RNAcentral.
GACGAACGCUGGCGGCGUGCUUAACACAUGCAAGUCGAACGGAAAGGCCCUGCUUUUGUGGGGUGCUCGAGUGGCGAACGGGUGAGUAACACGUGAGUAACCUGCCCUUGACUUUGGGAUAACUUCAGGAAACUGGGGCUAAUACCGGAUAGGAGCUCCUGCUGCAUGGUGGGGGUUGGAAAGUUUCGGCGGUUGGGGAUAGACUCGCGGCUUAUCAGCUUGUUGGUGGGGUAGUGGCUUACCAAGGCUUUGACGGGUAGCCGGCCUGAGAGGGUGACCGGCCACAUUGGGACUGAGAGACGGCCCAGACUCCUACGGGGGGCAGCAGUGGGGAAUAUUGCACAAUGGGCGGAAGCCUGAUGCAGCAACGCCGCGUGCGGGAUGACGGCCUUCGGGUUGUAAACCGCUUUCGCCUGUGACGAAGCGUGAGUGGCGGUAAUGGGUAAAGAAGCACCGGCUAACUACGUG